CGGCGCAAGUGAGGAAGUGCAACGGAUACUGGAAGUCUUGAGGCCUGGAGAGGGUAGCGGAAUUCCCAGUGUAGAGGUGAAAUUCGUAGAUAUUGGGAGGAACACCGGUGGCGAAGGCGGCUACCUGGACAGUGACUGACGCUGAGGCGCGAAAGCAUGGGUAGCAAACAG
This 171-nucleotide ribosomal RNA is filed under the name uncultured bacterium. Its description in RNAcentral is "partial 16S ribosomal RNA". It matches the Rfam family "Bacterial small subunit ribosomal RNA", at positions 605 to 775 of the family's 1533-position model. The record is from RNAcentral.